UACGGAGGGUGCAAGCGUUGUCCGGGUUUAUUGGGUUUAAAGGGUGCGUAGGCUGGUUAUUAAGUCAGUGGUGAAAGUCUGCGGCUCAACCGCUGGAGUGCCAUUGAUACUGGUAGUCUUGAGUACAGUAGAGGUAGGAGGAAUUUAUGGUGUAGCGGUGAAAUGCAUAGAUACCAUAAAGAACACCGAUAGCGUAGGCAGCUUACUAUGCUGUAACUGACGCUGAGGCACGAACGCGUGGGGAUCGAACAGG
Molecule: ribosomal RNA, 253 nt
Filed under: uncultured bacterium
Lineage: Bacteria
Description: partial 16S ribosomal RNA
Rfam family: Bacterial small subunit ribosomal RNA
Source: RNAcentral